This 23-nucleotide non-coding RNA is filed under the name Arabidopsis thaliana (thale cress). The record is from RNAcentral. Lineage: Eukaryota; Viridiplantae; Streptophyta; Magnoliopsida; Brassicales; Brassicaceae.
GAACUACAUGACGGAACACCUAA